AAUGGAAUGAGGUGUUCAUCCUUAGGCUUAUAAUAAAGCCUUUCUUCAUCUUCAUUGGAGUCCACACACGCACAGAGAAAAGGAUAAGAGAGAGCAAUGUAGAGAGAGGGAAACUAAUGGAAGAGUUCUAUAUAGAAAUAUGGAGAGCAGCCAACCACUUGAAAGCAUAAAACUGCAGCCUUUGACUUAGUAAAUUCUAUAUGUUUGACUGGAAUCCAUAUAAUUUACGAGCUACAUCAAAUUAAAGGUGAGAAGAAUUGAUAUUUCUUUGCCUUCACUGAAUGUUUGGAAUUUAUAUUCGAUAUAAAUUGCUUUCAUGAAAAUCUUGAAUGAAGAUAUUAUAGCUUGAUUUGUUUAUAUUGCAGUAUUGAGAAAGGCAUGGCCUAGGUUAUAGUCGUGAUGACUGAUGCAUAAACUCCUACUUUGUUAUGUUCUUGUUAUGGAAUUAUAUAUAUUAAUGUUUGUAAGUACUUUUUAUUUCGAAUGUUUUGUUGAAAAGUUAUGUAGAAUAUACAAAUCGUGUUGUCAAUAUUACAUGAAUGCAUAGCAUGAAUGGUUUCUAUAAUAAUUAUUCG
Molecule: long non-coding RNA, 575 nt
Filed under: Olea europaea subsp. europaea
Lineage: Eukaryota; Viridiplantae; Streptophyta; Magnoliopsida; Lamiales; Oleaceae
Source: RNAcentral